RNAcentral lists this long non-coding RNA (1576 nucleotides) under Marmota monax (woodchuck). The record is from RNAcentral. Lineage: Eukaryota; Metazoa; Chordata; Mammalia; Rodentia; Sciuridae.
UGUCAAGGUGAAUGUAAUCUUCAACUCUAAAUGUUCAUUUUUUUUUCCCUUCAGAUUUUAGAAGAAAUUAAUAUAACUUCAUGAGCCUUCUAAGACUAUUGCGUGUCCUGAGUGCUGUGCCUUAUGGAUAAAUUGUGGGUAAAUCAACUGCAAAGGAACUCUGAGGUUAUUACCCCAUUUAAUUCAAAUAAUGGGGCCUCAGGAGAGAUCCUGAAAUUGAUGAUAGCUUUAUCAUUUCAUAAUUUAUUAACCUGCUAUCUCAGGAGGUGUGGGGGGUGAGAGAACACAUUUUGCACUCAUUUGAAACAUGGGACUUGUUAUAAGGAAAAUGGUCCUAAGAUGAUCUUUUCUUGCUUAUCAAGAGUUAAUUUAUGGGUUUUGGAUCAGUGGUAGAGCACUUGCCUAGUACAAGCAAGGCCCUGGGUUUGAUUCCCAACAUUGCAAUCAACCAAUCAAUCAAUCAAAUAGUUAAUGGAUGAACUCUGAAUGUCAAAGAGACAUCUGCACUCUGGUUUUCACUGCAACAUUCUUUACAAUAGCCAAGACAUGGGAGCAACCUGACUCUCCAUCAACAGAUCAAUGGAUGAAGCAACUGUGAUCCAAAGAAGAAAAUCCUGUCAUUCACACCAACAUGGAUGAUCCUGGGGGACCUUAGGCUCAGUGGAAUAAGCCAAGCACACAAAGACAAACACCACAUGAUCUCGCUUAUUUGUGGAAUCUAAAAAACGUUGAACUCAGAGAAAUAGGUAGUAAAAAGGUCAUUAACAGCGGUUUGAAGGUUAGCAGUUAAGGAGAUGUUUGUCAAAGGUUAGAAACCUUAAGCUGGAUGGAAGGAAUCCAUUUAAGAGACCUAUGGCACACAUGGAGACUACAGUUCAUAAUAACAUAGUGCUCAAAAUAACUGAGAGUAAAUUGUAAGUAUUCUCACCACAAAAAAAAAUGAUAAGUAUAUGUGGUCAUGCAUGUGUGAAUUAGUGCAAUGUAGCCAUCCCAUGAUGUCUACAUAGUUCAAAACAUCACAACAUUGACAAGAUAACUAUGUACAACCUGUGUACGUUAAUUAAAAUAAGUGUAUAGUUCUUUAAGUUAAUUGGCUUAGAUAAGCACGGCUCAGCCUUGAGUUCCUGGAAUACCUCCUCUGAAAGGAAAAGAUGGGUAGGAAGAGAGGCCUGGCUUUCCCGCCACCUAGUGGCAGCUGUGGUAAACUGCAAGCUGUAACCAUUAACAAGAAGAGAAGAAUAUUGAAUGACUGUGCCCCUGAAAAUACUCAUCGACAAUACAGCCUCAUGCAUAGCUGAAGAUCAGCACUUCAAUGUUUGGAAAAUUGGCUAACAUUUUCACUUUGGAAACAUAAAUUUUAAAUUCUAACUGUGGAGAUAAAUAAAGUAGACACAAGCAACUAAAAAUAUCCUUUAAGAAGUUGAGAGAGAUUCUGGUUAGAAAGAAAAGGAGCAAAAGGUGGUGAGAGAGGGAUGCCCAUUUUUCCUGAAGAGAACAAAACUAGGAAGCAAGAAACAUACAGCCUGUGGCUGCAGCCCUGAGGGACAAAUGUUUUCAGUCAAAGGCUGGAGAGGGC